AAUUUAAAAAAUAUAGAAUGACACAUGUCAUUUUUUUGUGUGAUGAUGUGUCAUUCAUAUGGAAAGAGUUGGCCAACUUUCAUAUAUAUGAUUAGAUUUCUAAAUGAUCAUUGCCGUAAUAUUAGUAAAGAUGUGUCCAGUGUUUUAGCAAUUUUUACCAAACUAAUUUUGAUUUACA
This 178-nucleotide small RNA is filed under the name Arabidopsis thaliana (thale cress). Its description in RNAcentral is "ATSL084150". Lineage: Eukaryota; Viridiplantae; Streptophyta; Magnoliopsida; Brassicales; Brassicaceae. The record is from RNAcentral.